Molecule: non-coding RNA, 174 nt
Filed under: Tepidibacillus fermentans
Lineage: Bacteria; Bacillati; Bacillota; Bacilli; Caryophanales; Bacillaceae
Source: RNAcentral
UCCACCGCGAGGUGGAAUCUGAAGGAAGUCGGAGGCAAAUCUCUGGUCUGAGGUACACGAAUUGCAUUCGAGGCUUAUUCUUGUGGGUGAGUUUGCAUAACAAAACAAAGCCCAAUAACUACCCGAAAACAAGGAAAGUAAAUGCAACAGAUAUGUGGAGAGAAAGUUUGCGCU